This 79-nucleotide transfer RNA is filed under the name Dallia pectoralis (Alaska blackfish). RNAcentral's name for it is "tRNA-OTHER". It matches the Rfam family "tRNA". Rfam says of the family: Transfer RNA (tRNA) molecules are approximately 80 nucleotides in length. Their secondary structure includes four short double-helical elements and three loops (D, anti-codon, and T loops). The record is from RNAcentral. Lineage: Eukaryota; Metazoa; Chordata; Actinopteri; Esociformes; Umbridae.
UUUGUCGUGGCCGAGUGGUUAAGGCGUGGACUGAAAUCCAUUAGGAUCUUCCAGCAGAGUUCAAAUCCUGCCGACAACA